GCCUGGGGGGCUCAGUCGGUUGAGCGUCUGACUUCGACUCAGGUCAGGUCAUGAUCUCAUGGUUCAUGGGUUCGAGCCCCACGUCGGGCU
This 90-nucleotide transfer RNA is filed under the name Felis catus (domestic cat). It matches the Rfam family "tRNA". From Rfam's summary of the family: Transfer RNA (tRNA) molecules are approximately 80 nucleotides in length. The record is from Rfam by way of RNAcentral. Lineage: Eukaryota; Metazoa; Chordata; Mammalia; Carnivora; Felidae.